This is an RNA transcript of Puntigrus tetrazona (Sumatra barb), 769 nucleotides long. It is a transcript of the gene named succinate dehydrogenase assembly factor 3, mitochondrial, with no coding region annotated. Lineage: Eukaryota; Metazoa; Chordata; Actinopteri; Cypriniformes; Cyprinidae. The transcript has 3 exons. The record is from RefSeq and is a predicted model, not a curated record.
CAUCGCCGCCAGAGGGCGGCAGCAGCCCCGAUAACCCUGACAGAGCCGCGGUGAAGAAGUCCGCGCUUACACAAGGACGGCACGGUUAGGUAACGCGUGUAGCGUAGAAACCUUUUAUGAUAUGUCACCUCUCUCGUGAGCUUCGGCUUUGAGCUUUCAGCACGCUUUUCCAGUCAGACUCGGCGUGAAGUUAUGGCUCACGUGUCGGCGGUGCGGGCUCUGUAUAAGAGGAUCCUGCUGCUGCACCGCUUCAUGCCCGUGGACCUGCGGGCUCUGGGGGAUCAGUACGUGAAGGACGAGUUCAGAAGACACAAGACCGCCACAGACGAAGAGGCGACGCGCUUCUUGACGGAGUGGCAGGUAAACAGAGACUCGCCCGCUCCUGUCAGACCGUCCCUUGACCGCAGGCCUCGGCCUCUACACCAGCGACAGAGACACAUAAAGAGCUGUGUCCUCCUGAAACACAAGUUUGAUCGUAAGCAGUCAUGACAGACGUGACGGACAAGUUUCAAUUAAGAUGUCAGAAAACCCAAGCUCGUGUGAUAGAAUCUGCGGUACGCUGUAAAUAUGAACUACAAAGACACUCUACAGACGCAAGUGCUGGAAGCGGUGGGAAACAAGAAAUUGGAGUUUGGCUCUGAUUUAUCGGAAGAGAAACUCAAAGACUUUCAAGAUGAACAGAUCGGACAGCUUUAUGAGCUUAUGCUUGAGUCCACAAAACCCAACCGACAGUUUGAUAUUCAAGAAGAGGGAACGCCAAAGUAACACA